UACGUAGGGUGCAAACGUUGCUCGGAAUUACUGGGCGUAAAGCGCGUGUAGGCGGUGCCGCACGUCCGAUGUGAAAGCCCGGGGCUCAACCCCGGACGUGCAUUGGAUACGACGGCGCUGGAGUCCUGAAGAGGAGGGCGGAAUUCCCGGUGUAGAGGUGAAAUUCGUAGAUAUCGGGAGGAACACCAGUGGCGAAGGCGGCUCUCUGGACAGGUACUGACGCUGAGACGCGAAAGCGUGGGUAGCAAACAGG
Molecule: ribosomal RNA, 253 nt
Filed under: uncultured bacterium
Lineage: Bacteria
Description: partial 16S ribosomal RNA
Rfam family: Bacterial small subunit ribosomal RNA
Source: RNAcentral